AGCACAUGAAUUCAAACCGUCAUUAAAGAGUUAGAUGACAUGUCUUAAUGUGGGAGAUUAGCACUCAAUCAAAAACAUUUAAUUUUUAACUUGUCCUAAAUCAGGUACUGUUGUCUCUUUCCCUAUCAUUUUGUCUCUCUUUCUUCUGUGCGCGUAGAUGACUGUAGAGAGACGGAGAGAGCAGCAACAAAGACAAUAAUAAGCAAAUAUGAUUGAUUCGUGAAUUCAAAGAAA
Molecule: unclassified non-coding RNA, 234 nt
Filed under: Hevea brasiliensis (rubber tree)
Lineage: Eukaryota; Viridiplantae; Streptophyta; Magnoliopsida; Malpighiales; Euphorbiaceae
Source: RNAcentral